Molecule: long non-coding RNA, 1797 nt
Organism: Passer domesticus (house sparrow)
Lineage: Eukaryota; Metazoa; Chordata; Aves; Passeriformes; Passeridae
Exons: 3
Source: RefSeq, a predicted model, not a curated record
UUAAAGAGUUUCAAAUAUCACUUGACUUCAAAAACACAUUAGCUAGCACAUGAGAACAUUAAAGUAAACCAGAACUAGAUGGUCUGUAACAUCAUUGUAUCUGCUUAUUCCUGUAUGAAAAGAGCAGGGCACGCUUGACACAGACUAAGAUGAAGUGGUCACUAUGCAGUGGGCACAGGGAAGGGGACACAGCACAGCACAGGGAGGGACAAUCACAACACCAACACACCGCAUGCUCUUCACCUGCUUGCGAGUGCCUGGCCUCCUUUUAAUGGUAUUGGUGUUAUUGUCAAUCUCAAACACAGAGAGAGGCUCAAAGCCAUUCUGUCAGGGACAGUAAGGAAAGAAAGAGAGGGAAGAAAGGAAGAAGUGAUGCAAAGAACAACUGUGAGAAAAGGCAGCCACAACACUAAAGGAGCCAGGAUGCUGCAGCCCAGACUUACACCACCCUCUGCACAUGCUGCACGCAGUCUUUAGGUCUAGCACUGAAGUAAAAAAAUUUCCCUGUGCCAGAAACAACUGCAGAUACAGGGAGUGCCAAAGGACAGCCCAACCAGAACUCUGCAUGAGCCAAAUAAGGAUAUUUUAAGAGAAUUUGGUUAUUAAACAUUUGAAUACACAAACGAAUGCCAACGGUCUGACAGAAAACUCCAGGGUACAAGUCUGCAUAAGCCAAGUCCUGCUUACUUUACCCAUACCAUUAUUAUUUGUAACACUCUGGUGCUUAACUUAAACAUAGUCUUAACUUCAAAUGUUUCAGAAAUUUAUGUGCUAACAGUAAUAUGACAGACUCAGGCCACAUUUGAGACCACAACAAGAAAACAACACAAGGAAGGGAACAUAAGGCAGCAAUGACACAAAGGUUGUGAGAGGAAGAGGUCACAGCAGCUGCCUGAUGCUUCUGAAGUACUUUGUGGGCUUCACAGCAGAGAAAUUGAGCAGCAGUUAGAGAGGAUGUCUUGGGGUUUUUUUCCCCCUUCGACACUACCAAUGUUGUAAGAGACAGUGUAAGAGAAAACAAGAAACUAUUUGCAGAAAAAUGAGAUUUAGAAGCAAUGAAGGCUGAAGCCAAGUCAUCAGUCAAGUUGGAAAGCUUGAUACCAGCUCUAAAAGUAACCUCCAUUGUAACAGAUGGAACUACCCUUGUGAGAACAGCAGGAGGUUCUGACUAACAUAAAACUUUUAUUUUUUCAGAGAGGCCAGUGAUUACAUUUCUUCAACAACAUUUUAGUCUGGUUAUCUAUCACAGGCUGACCCAAAGAAAUCCACCUCAGUGUGCAAUGAAGUUCUGCAGCCAGACUCCAAAUCACAGGACACAGAGAAGUUAAAGCAGAAGGCUGUACUAAGCAGUAAAAUCACUUCCUUCAUACUGAAGAGCACAUCAAUUAGGAAGCAAGCUGAAUGGAGAAGAAAUCAAACUAGAACAACUAGAGAAUGUGCCACAGAAAAAGGCCAUCACGUGCAGGAUCUUACCACUAACAAGGCACUAUCAUCAGUAUGCUGAGACCUUCUGGAUGGAAAGGGACACUGGGAGGUGGGAGAGAUGGAGCAAUGUCAGAAACACACACAAUGUCAGAAACACACGGUAUGUGAACAGACAGACAUUUUGGAACAUGUACUGCUUGCUUAUAGCACUGUGAGGCUCUUUCAAACAAUCCAUGAAGUGUCUGUAACUCUGCAGCCUCAGGACCCAGGAAUUACAGUGCAGUCGUAUUACUUAAGGAAUCAAUUACUCUGCUUUCUGUGCUGUGUCAAGCAAACACAGAACACUAUGCAUUCACAGUGCUGACUCUGGUA